Molecule: non-coding RNA, 72 nt
Organism: Phrynosoma platyrhinos (Desert horned lizard)
Lineage: Eukaryota; Metazoa; Chordata; Lepidosauria; Squamata; Phrynosomatidae
Source: the annotation of a GenBank genome assembly
GCCAGAGUAGUGUAGUGGUUUGAGUAAUAGACUCUGACUCUGGAGACCAGAGUUCGAAUCUUUGUUCAGUCU